RNAcentral lists this ribosomal RNA (482 nucleotides) under Wolbachia sp. wRi. RNAcentral describes it as "bacterial SSU rRNA". It matches the Rfam family "Bacterial small subunit ribosomal RNA", at positions 1057 to 1533 of the family's 1533-position model. The record is from RNAcentral. Lineage: Bacteria; Pseudomonadati; Pseudomonadota; Alphaproteobacteria; Rickettsiales; Anaplasmataceae.
AGCUCGUGUCGUGAGAUGUUGGGUUAAGUCCCGCAACGAGCGCAACCCUCAUCCUUAGUUACCAUCAGGUAAUGCUGGGGACUUUAAGGAAACUGCCAGUGAUAAACUGGAGGAAGGUGGGGAUGAUGUCAAGUCAUCAUGGCCCUUAUGGAGUGGGCUACACACGUGCUACAAUGGUGGCUACAAUGGGCUGCAAAGUCGCGAGGCUAAGCUAAUCCCUUAAAAGCCAUCUCAGUUCGGAUUGUACUCUGCAACUCGAGUGCAUGAAGUUGGAAUCGCUAGUAAUCGUGGAUCAGCACGCCACGGUGAAUACGUUCUCGGGUCUUGUACACACUGCCCGUCACGCCAUGGGAAUUGGUUUCACUCGAAGCUAACGACCUAACCGCAAGGAGGGAGUUAUUUAAAGUGGGAUCGGUGACUGGGGUGAAGUCGUAACAAGGUAGCAGUAGGGGAAUCUGCAGCUGGAUUACCUCCUUAGGCUU